UCCGGCUUAUCACCGGCAGUUUCCUCAGAGUUCUCAGCAUUACCUGUUAGCAACAGAGGAUGAGGGUUGCGCUCGUUGCGGGACUUAACCCAACAUCUCACGACACGAGCUGACGACAGCCAUGCAGCACCUGUGCUCCUCCCACCCGAGGUGAAGGGAUGUGUUUCCACAUCCCAUAGAGGGCAUGUCAAGGCCUGGAUAAGGUUCUUCGCGUUGCCUCGAAUUAAACCACAUGUUCCACCGCUUGUGCGGGUCCCCGUCAAUUCCUUUGAGUUUUAAUCUUGCGACCGUACUCCCCAGGCGGGGUGCUUAACGCGUUAGCUACACUACCGAAAUGAAAUCCCGACAGCUAGCACCCAUCGUUUACAGCGUGGACUAC
Molecule: unclassified non-coding RNA, 379 nt
Filed under: uncultured Rickettsiales bacterium
Lineage: Bacteria; Pseudomonadati; Pseudomonadota; Alphaproteobacteria; Rickettsiales
Description: contains 16S-23S intergenic spacer region
Source: RNAcentral